This 262-nucleotide long non-coding RNA is filed under the name Nicotiana benthamiana. Its description in RNAcentral is "long non-coding RNA (NBEN_LNC019459)". The record is from RNAcentral. Lineage: Eukaryota; Viridiplantae; Streptophyta; Magnoliopsida; Solanales; Solanaceae.
CUAUACUGGCCCUUCCACUUUGGUGUAGUUUUUGUUUGUAUUGGUACUGAAUGAACAUAUCAAACAAAGGCGAGCAGUAUAAGCCCUUCUCCGGCCUGGGAAAAGCAGCGAACUCUAGAAGCUAGGGCUUUGUUCACCUUUGGACACGAACACUAUUCCGUUCUCAGCGGAAACCCGCCUUAGAGAUUGAACGGCAAUAAGAUAAGUCAACGUUCAAUCUAAGACAGCGCUGAGCGCUGAUAGCUUGUAGUGAACAGCCCCA